AUACAUAGGGGGCAAGCGUUGUCCGGAAUUAUUGGGCGUAAAGCGCGCGCAGGCGGUACAUUAAGUCUUGUGUUUAACUCCAGGGCUCAACCCUGGCACGCAUGGGAAACUGGUGUACUGGAGUGCAGGAGAGGAAAGCGGAAUUCCACGUGUAGCGGUGAAAUGCGUAGAGAUGUGGAGGAACACCAGUGGCGAAGGCGGCUUUCUGGCCUGCAACUGACGCUGAGGCGCGAAAGCGUGGGGAGCAAACAGGAUUAGAUACCCUGGUAGUCCACGCCGUAAACGAUGAGUGCUAGGUGUCGGGGGUUUCGAUACCUUCGGUGCCGAAGUAAACACAAUAAGCACUCCGCCUGGGGAGUACGCUCGCAAGAGUGAA
This 376-nucleotide ribosomal RNA is filed under the name uncultured bacterium. RNAcentral's name for it is "bacterial SSU rRNA". It matches the Rfam family "Bacterial small subunit ribosomal RNA", at positions 523 to 898 of the family's 1533-position model. The record is from RNAcentral.